AUACUUUUCUCGGUCUUUUGGUUAAGAUCAAGUAUAGUAUUUGUUCUUAUUAGUUUAAUAUCUGAUAUGUGGUUUAUUGUGUCACACGAUAUUAAAUUACUUUUUUGAGGGGGAGUGAAUAUCACAAUAGCUUGCUAUUGGGCUUCUUGAGUGUUGCCUAUGUGUUGCACUAUUGCAUUGGCUGAGGCACCCAAC
This is a small nuclear RNA of Trifolium pratense (red clover), 195 nucleotides long. RefSeq annotates it as U2 spliceosomal RNA. Lineage: Eukaryota; Viridiplantae; Streptophyta; Magnoliopsida; Fabales; Fabaceae. The record is from RefSeq and is a predicted model, not a curated record. The transcript has a single exon.